GAAGGUAGAGCUCAGUGGUAGAGUGUGUGCUUGGCAUGCAGGAGGUCCGGAGUUCAAUUCUCGGUACCUCCA
RNAcentral lists this transfer RNA (72 nucleotides) under Camelus bactrianus (Bactrian camel). It matches the Rfam family "tRNA". Rfam says of the family: Transfer RNA (tRNA) molecules are approximately 80 nucleotides in length. The record is from Rfam by way of RNAcentral. Lineage: Eukaryota; Metazoa; Chordata; Mammalia; Artiodactyla; Camelidae. RNAcentral also lists the same sequence under 1 other name.